This 897-nucleotide ribosomal RNA is filed under the name uncultured Latescibacterota bacterium. Its description in RNAcentral is "bacterial SSU rRNA". It matches the Rfam family "Bacterial small subunit ribosomal RNA", at positions 39 to 913 of the family's 1533-position model. The record is from RNAcentral. Lineage: Bacteria; Pseudomonadati; Candidatus Latescibacterota.
UCGAUUGGAUUAGGCAUGCAAGUCGAACGAGAAAGCACCCUUCGGGGUGUGAGUACAGUGGCGGACGGGUGAGUAACGCGUGGGAAACCUGCCUUUGAGCGGGGGAUAACAGUUCUAACGGACUGCUAAUACCGCAUGACGCUGUUGAUCUUAUGUUCAACAGUUAAAGAUGGCCUCUACAUGUAAGCUGUCGCUUGAAGAUGGUCCCGCGUCCUAUUAGCUUGUUGGUGAGGUAACGGCUCACCAAGGCAACGAUGGGUAGCCGGCCUGAGAGGGUGGCCGGCCACACUGGGACUGAGAUACGGCCCAGACUCCUACGGGAGGCAGCAGUCGAGAGGCUUCGGCAAUGGGGGAAACCCUGACCGAGCGACGUCGCGUGGGUGAUGAAGAUUCUUGGAUCGUAAAACCCUGUCAGGUGGGAUGAAAUGCCAUUAGGUCAAUAGUCUAGUGGCUUGACAGUACCGCCAGAGGAAGCUCCGGCCAACUCCGUGCCAGCAGCCGCGGUAACACGGGGGGAGCAAGCGUUGUUCGGAAUCAUUGGGCGUAAAGAGCUCGUAGGCGGCUCCGUAAGUCAGGGGUGAAAUCCAAUGGCUCAACCAUUGUCACGCCUCUGAAACUACGGAACUUGAGUUCAGGAGAGGAAAGCGGAAUUCCAGGUGUAGCGGUGAAAUGCGUAGAUAUCUGGAGGAACACCGGUGGCGAAGGCGGCUUUCUGGCCUGAAACUGACGCUGAGGAGCGAAAGCCAGGGGAGCGAACGGGAUUAGAUACCCCGGUAGUCCUGGCCGUAAACGAUGGGCACUAGGUGUGGGGAGAUCGACCCUUUCCGUGCCGCAGUUAACGCAUUAAGUGCCCCGCCUGGGGAGUACGACCGCAAGGUUGAAACUCAAAGGAAUUGA